Molecule: long non-coding RNA, 476 nt
Filed under: Homo sapiens (human)
Lineage: Eukaryota; Metazoa; Chordata; Mammalia; Primates; Hominidae
Description: non-protein coding lnc-TMEM220-3:1
Source: RNAcentral
UUUUCAAUCUGCCAUCUGCAGUGGAACCGCCACCAAAAUACAGAUUUUUUAAUAAAAAUCUUUACGGGGAAGACCGUCAUCCUCAAGGUCGAACCCUUGGAUAUGACAGAAAAUGUAAAGGCCAAGACCCAGAAUAAGAAAGGAAUUCCUCUUGAUCAGCAAAGGCGGAUCUUUGCUGGAAAGCAACUGGAAGAAAAAGAUGGAUGUACUUUGAUGACUACAACUUUCAAAAAAAGUCUACUCUUCAUCCUGUGGUAAGACUUCAUGGUGGUGCUAACAAAAUGAAGAAAUCUUACACCACUCCCAAGAAGAAAAGCAGGAGAGAAAGAAGGUUAACUGGCUGACUUGAAAUACUAGAAAAUGGAUGAGAAUGGCCAAAUUACUUGCCUUCUUUGGAAAUGCCCUUCAGAUGAUUGUGGCACUGGAGUGUUUAUGGCCAGCCACUUGGAGCGAAAUUACUGUGGCAAAUUGUUGUC